GACGAACGCUGGCGGUGUGCUUAACACAUGCAAGUCGAACGGUAAGGCCCUUUCGGGGGUACACGAGUGGCGAACGGGUGAGUAACACGUGAGUAACCUGCCCUCAUCUCUGGGAUAACAGUCGGAAACGGUUGCUAAUACUGGAUAUGAGCCUGCAAGGCAUCUUGUGGGUUGGAAAGAUUUUUUGGUUGGGGAUGGACUCGCGGCCUAUCAGCUUGUUGGUGAGGUAGUGGCUCACCAAGGCUUCGACGGGUAGCCGGCCUGAGAGGGCGACCGGCCACAUUGGGACUGAGAUACGGCCCAAACUCCUACGGGAGGCAGCAGUGGGGAAUAUUGCACAAUGGACGGAAGUCUGAUGCAGCAACGCCGCGUGCGGGAGGACGGCCUUCGGGUUGGAAACCGCUUUCAAUUGUGACGAAGCUUUUUGUGACGGUAGCAGUAGAAGAAGCACCGGCUAACUACGUG
This 465-nucleotide ribosomal RNA is filed under the name uncultured bacterium. Its description in RNAcentral is "partial 16S ribosomal RNA". It matches the Rfam family "Bacterial small subunit ribosomal RNA", at positions 28 to 507 of the family's 1533-position model. The record is from RNAcentral.